UACGUAGGGGGCAAGCGUUGUCCGGAAUCAUUGGGCGUAAAGAGCGUGUAGGCGGUUCGGUAAGUCGGCUGUGAAAGUCCAGGGCUCAACCCUGGGAUGCCGGUCGAUACUGCCGGACUAGAGUUCGGUAGGGGAGACUGGAAUUCCUGGUGUAGCGGUGAAAUGCGCAGAUAUCAGGAGGAACACCGGUGGCGAAGGCGGGUCUCUGGGCCGAUACUGACGCUGAGGAGCGAAAGCGUGGGGAGCGAACAGG
Molecule: ribosomal RNA, 253 nt
Filed under: uncultured bacterium
Lineage: Bacteria
Description: partial 16S ribosomal RNA
Rfam family: Bacterial small subunit ribosomal RNA
Source: RNAcentral